This 320-nucleotide ribosomal RNA is filed under the name uncultured delta proteobacterium. RNAcentral describes it as "bacterial SSU rRNA". It matches the Rfam family "Bacterial small subunit ribosomal RNA", at positions 463 to 782 of the family's 1533-position model. The record is from RNAcentral. Lineage: Bacteria; Deltaproteobacteria.
UUUGGUCUGACGGUACCCACAAAGGAAGCACCGGCUAACUCCGUGCCAGCAGCCGCGGUAAUACUGAGGGUGCAAGCGUUGUUCGGAAUUAUUGGGCGUAAAGCGCGUGUAGGCGGUUUGUUAAGUCUGGUGUGAAAGCCCUGGGCUCAACCUGGGAAGUGCAUUGGAUACAGGCAAACUUGAGUACGGGAGAGGAUAGUGGAAUUUCGAGUGUAGGGGUGAAAUCCGUAGAUAUUCGAAGGAACACCGGUGGCGAAGGCGGCUAUCUGGACCGAUACUGACGCUGAGACGCGAAAGCGUGGGGAGCAAACAGGAUUAGA